Small nuclear RNA from Cricetulus griseus (Chinese hamster), 157 nucleotides. Its record names the gene U1. It matches the Rfam family "U1 spliceosomal RNA". Rfam says of the family: U1 is a small nuclear RNA (snRNA) component of the spliceosome (involved in pre-mRNA splicing). Its 5' end forms complementary base pairs with the 5' splice junction, thus defining the 5' donor site of an intron. There are significant differences in sequence and secondary structure between metazoan and yeast U1 snRNAs, the latter being much longer (568 nucleotides as compared to 164 nucleotides in human). The record is from Ensembl. Lineage: Eukaryota; Metazoa; Chordata; Mammalia; Rodentia; Cricetidae.
UUAAUUACAGCCUGGCAGGGGAGAUAUAUGAUCAGGAGGGUGGUUUUUCCUCUGAGUGAGGCUUAUCCCGUACACACAGCUGUGGUGACCCCUGGGAUUUCCCCAAAUGUGGGAAACCGGAUAGCAUAAUUUGUGGUAAUAUGGGAAAUGAAACAUU